AUGCUUAGUUUAAAAGGUCUUGAUCAAACUUUGUGUAUUUGGAAUGUGAAGUCCGAGUUUGGAAGUAAAAAAAUGCAGCAGGCCUGCACUUUCGGUUGCUGAAAUUUCCAAAGUUUCGGCAGGCUGCUGAAAAUGUCUUAUUGUUGCAGAAUUGCUUUACAAGCUUUAUAUGAAGAUUGCUUGAGCCAUCCAAUUUGCUGGUUGAUCUUAUGUUGGAAAGAGGUGUUGAGUUUGCAUUUUUUGGGGGCUGAAAUAUUCGAAGCAUGUUCCAAUCCUUUGCUGGAAAAAUGAAUGACCGAAUUGCCGAAUUUUUCUUGUAUAUUUUCCAGAAUUUUUUGCAUGAUCAUUUCCUAAGUCUUCAGUUUGUUUUGAUGGUGGUGAUUAUAUGUUUUGCUUAGCCUGAAGUUGCAGGUUUGGUUUUGAAAAUGUGUAACCCAAGUUGGGAUUAAGAAAUAGGCAUUUGUAAACAUAGAGCUGCAGCAGGUUUCCUUUUGUUUUUUUUUUCCAGAUUGCAGAAAGCUCAUUUUUUCUUCCUAAGUUGUACACUUUGCAUGAAAAAUCUUCCAAGAAACUCUUUGUUUUAGCUAUGUUUAGUUGGAAAUGGUUGAAAGCUCUGCAUGAAUCUUGUUUUUGCCGAAAAUUCCUUGGAGUUGCAAAGACUCCCGAAUGAGUUGCAGCAAAAUUGUUUGGCCGAAAAGUUGCAGCAGCAACAUCGACUAGCAACUUGCAGAAAAUCUUAGUUUCCUCAUGGGCCUUGCAUGAAAGUUUUUCCAGAUUGUGCAUAACCUUCCUCUAAGUUGUUGCAUUCAAGUUGAGUCAUUGAAUUCGGUGGUUUGCUUUGUACAAAUGCAUCUAGGCUAAAUGAAAGAUUGCUGAAAGAAUGAUUGCUGGAAAAUUGCAGAACAUGAGUUUCGUAGGUUUGCAUGGGAUUGCAUGAAAAAUAAUUGUCAGAUUUAGCACCUUGACCCCUCAAGUUUUCCCCU
This 983-nucleotide long non-coding RNA is filed under the name Coffea arabica (coffee). RNAcentral describes it as "long non-coding RNA (CARA_LNC006912)". Lineage: Eukaryota; Viridiplantae; Streptophyta; Magnoliopsida; Gentianales; Rubiaceae. The record is from RNAcentral.